RNAcentral lists this ribosomal RNA (399 nucleotides) under uncultured bacterium. RNAcentral describes it as "bacterial SSU rRNA". It matches the Rfam family "Bacterial small subunit ribosomal RNA", at positions 29 to 418 of the family's 1533-position model. The record is from RNAcentral.
AACGAACGCUGGCGGCGCGCCUAAUACAUGCAAGUCGAGCGAGAAGACGUAGCAAUACGUUUGUAAAGCGGCGAACGGGUGAGGAAUACAUGGGUAACCUACCCUCGAGUGGGGAGUAACUAGCCGAAAGGUUAGCUAAUACCGCGUACGCUCCUUGGACUUCGGUUCAGGGAGGAAAGCGAUACCGUGGGUAUCGCGCUCUUGGAUGGGCUCAUGUCCUAUCAGCUUGUUGGUGAGGUAACGGCUCACCAAGGCUUCGACGGGUAGCUGGUCUGAGAGGACGAUCAGCCACACUGGCACUGCGACACGGGCCAGACUCCUACGGGAGGCAGCAGUAAGGAAUAUUGCGCAAUGGGCGAAAGCCUGACGCAGCGACGCCGCGUGGGUGAUGAAGGCCUU